GAAAAUAAACUCAGGCAGAAAUAUAAAAUAAUUAGACUUCAAAUUUGAGAUCUCAUAUAUCAACCGUCGAGCUCUUAACCAUCUAAGCUAGAUACCGUCGGUUGCCAAAUUUUACUCUUAAUAUUGCUAGCAAGUAUUAAAUUUGAAAGUUGUGAUGAUAAAGAAAUAAAACUUAUAAAUAGUUUUUAAAUUUGGAGUCUAGCUUGGGUCCUUCCAGAAGCAUGAAGGUCUCAAUGCUCCCAAAUUGUCUUUGACGAUAGAACUUUUGAAUAAUAGUUCUGUUAUAUUUGAUCUACAGUCAUUUGAAAUAUUUAGAAAAUAAUUUUGUGAUUUUUGAAUAUUAUUUAUCUAAUAAUCAAAAGGGCUCAAAAUCAAUAAUUUUAAUUGUCAACGUUAAAUGUUUGCAAGUUUAACUGUAUAAACAUAUUCAAAUCAGAUAAAAUUUUAAUAAAAAAUUCUAUAUACUAUUUAAAACAAAAUUGAUUUCUCUAAUCUAAAUUUUAGUAUUAUAUCAUUAUUUUUUUGGCUAAAUUACAUAAAACCUUCCUAUCAAAAGCCGAUUUUUCACUUUCCCUCUCUGUCAUUUAAAAACCUACACUUUGCCCCAUUGUAAAAUAAAAAAUGGUCAUAGGAGGGUACAGUGUAAACUGUGAUGACAAAAUAACUAUUUUACCCCUCACCAUUUUUGACAACAGAAGAAAAGGCUGAGGACAUUUUUGGUAUAAAAAAAAUAUAUAAUAAUAUUUUAUAAACGGAAAUCUAAUGGAUCACUAACGACAAGGGGUGAAGUGAAAAUUUUUUAUUUUAUAAGGGGGCAAAGUGUAGGUUUCUAAAUGACAAGGGGGAGUGAAAAAUCGGGAUUUGACAAGAAAAUUUUUUGUAAUUUAGCCUUAUUUUAAAAUAAAAUUUAGUAAAAAUAUCAAUAUAUGCAAGCAUCAAAAUUUUUUUACCAAACAGCUUCAGAAAAUUAUUUCAGAAAAAUCACUUUUAUCUAAACUCAGCCAAAUGCUCUACAGCUUUUCACCAAAAUUAAUUUUUCAAACUAAAAUCACUUUCGCAGAAAUCACUUUUCCAGAAGUUAAGCCAAACAUGCUCUAAAUCUAGAAAAAAAAGCAAAACCUAGUGAAUGUAUAAUUUUUGUAUAAAUCACGUAUUUGAAUAAUUUGUGAAUCUAUUUUUUAAAUCAUAUUUUUUAAUAAUUUAAAGAGUAAAAUUAAAAUUUUAUUUGAAAUAUAUCC
This 1238-nucleotide long non-coding RNA is filed under the name Ananas comosus (pineapple). Its description in RNAcentral is "long non-coding RNA (ACOM_LNC025717)". The record is from RNAcentral. Lineage: Eukaryota; Viridiplantae; Streptophyta; Magnoliopsida; Poales; Bromeliaceae.